GCAUCUUGUUUCUGGGCUGAAACAUUUAAGGUGCCUUGGGAAGUCAUGCCUCCUGGAAUUAAAUUGGCCAUUGCAAAUAAAAAGACCAUCACCAGCUGAUCGAAGGCAGCUAGUAAGGAUGUUAGUAGAUAAUAUGCGAAAACAUGAAGUCAACCCAUCAAAGGCACAGUGUCAGACUGUAGUGCAGAACAUUGUUAACAGGACCCGGACAGCUUUGCUGAUGUUCUGGCUGAUGGAACAAAAAUAGGUAGUGGCUAUGCCUCUUUGCUCUUGCAAGUUAAAACCCGUGUUGAACAUGUAAACAGAAACAACACAUUAGCUCGUCGGAGAAAAGAACGACUACGAUCAUCGUGCAGAACCCCAAGUCAAAGCUCAAGAAGGCCGGCUGAUCAAUAUGGUUGUGUCAGUUGGCAGCCAGAGGAGCUUCCUGCAGGAGAAAAUGAUGACACUCUAGAAGAGAAGCGCAAGCAAAUGGUACUGCUUCAUUCUACUGAAGGAAUGUCUGGCGCCAUUAGAGGAGAACUUCACAAGAUGAUGGAGCUCACAUAUUACCGUCAACGCCGUGAUAUAAACGCCACUCCACCUCCGCCACUGUCUGAACUAAAGAACUCAUGGCCGCCUUACCGGCCUUACCUUAAGGGUAUUUUUUUACAUUUUCAUUUGCUUACUGGCAUCACACUGCUCCAAAGAGUCAUAAGAGUCAUGGAAGGGAAAGGGAAGAGGAUUCUAAGAUUUUUUUCAAGAAAGGCCAACAAACAGUGAGGUGCAUGCUGUUCUGUCAAAGUAUCAAGAGGGAAAUUCUCUGGUCCUGUGCAUCCUGCAACUCUUAAUGGCCCAUUUUAAAGAGAGAACAGAAUCCCUUCUAAUUGAAGCUGAUGUAGCAGCAACUGCAGCCGACAUGGAAAGAAAUGGAUUACCGGAUUCACCCGCACUGAUCUUUCAAGGUGAAUCUAUGACCCCAAGCAAGUGGAUGUUGUCAGUCGAAAGUGAAGUUGUCUUUGGCCCAUGUUCAGAGGCAUUUGUUGAGGGCCUGGCAGCAUUGUUUGCGACCUAUUACAACUUAAACCUUGCUUAUCAGGAUGAAGCUGCAUGCACCCUCGAAUUUAUUCAGAGGUAUGUCAGAGCAUAAACUCUUACUGAAUAUUUAUUGUAGACAUCCAAGUUUCCAUUACUUUUUUUAGGUUUACAGGUUUGGAUGGCUUAUCAGGAUUAGAUGUUUUUUGGAAAAGUUUUCAAACAGCAAAAAAAUGCUGACUGCACACUGAAUUGAGUACAUACAACCAAAGUCCAGCAAAAAUAUUUUAUAAAAAAAUCUAUUACAAAAUAUGCAAACAAAUGUAAAACUAUACAAACAAUGCA
Molecule: long non-coding RNA, 1359 nt
Filed under: Sinocyclocheilus anshuiensis
Lineage: Eukaryota; Metazoa; Chordata; Actinopteri; Cypriniformes; Cyprinidae
Description: lncRNA (ENSSANG00000019410.1)
Source: RNAcentral